GUUGGGUACUUGGGUCUCUUGCUUGUAUUUUGUUUUGGUGAUUUAUACCAAUAAUAAUUAUUUUUUUCCAGAAUCUUUUGAAUCUGCCAAAACAAUUUCGGCCCCUGCAUCCAAGACCCUUUCGAAAGUGGGUAAAUCCACUUCUAAUGGUGUUUUGAAGCAUGGAAGCAAAGUAGCAUCUUCUAGAAUUGUUGGUACGGAGGCUUUGAGGUCAGAAUCAAUUAUGUCCAUUCAAGAUAUAGCAGUUCAAUCGCAGGCUUUACUAAAUGUUAAAGAUUCCAAUAAGGAGGAUAGGGAAAGAUUGGUAGUAAGGAGGUUUAAGUUUGAAGAUCCACGGAUAGAACAAAUUCAAGACCUUGAGAAUGAUUUGAUGAAGUACUUCAGAGAGGAUUUGCAUAGACGGCUUCUAAGCACAUAUUUUAAGAAGCAAAUUGAUGGGCUUGAGAUGCUGCAAAAGGAUGGCUAUGCUAUACAAAGCUUUAAGUGAGGAAUGGCUGCACAAAAGAGUCAAAUUUUUUUUUUCAACACAUAAAUAUUGCAUUUGACGGAUCAGUAGUAACUACUUCACAGGAAGGAUGCCUGAGUUUGGCAAUUUGAAACAGCUUCAGAAGUUGUAAGAGCUAUUGACCACACUCCUUUUGUCUUUUCUUCUUUACACCACACUCCUUUUGCUUAUUUUGUGAAUUUUCUUUCACUCUACAUGAUGAUUCUGAGGUUUGCUAUCAGUUUUCCUCUGGAAUAAAGGUACAAUUUUUUUCUUUUUGAGUACUUUAAUUGAGAUUAGUAUGGUAGAAACUUGUGUUAUAAAUUUUAUGGUUUCUUCUCAUAUCAACUGAAAGAAGAUUAAGAAAAAGUAGUUUGAAAGAGAAAAACAAAAAGGACUAGUCUACAGAAAAUUGCCAUAUCUUACCUUCUUCAAGUGAUGUUAGUAGGGCAGUUUCUGAAUUCUCUUCGUAUAAAUAAAGCUAGAUGGUUUAUGCAUCAGGCAGCUCCCAAUCCUUGGGUUGUCGCCACCAGUAUGGAUUAAAAAAAACAAACACCUAUAAUAAAAUUAUCCACUUUUUUUUAUUUAUUUUCUUGAAAAUCUUUAGCUCCUUCUGGAAAAAGCUGAUCAGCCAAUUGGGAUGAGCUCAGAAUCUUUUAUGCAAAAGCCUUGAAUCAGUAAUAGCACAAACCAGCCAUGGUAAACUUGAAACAACCUUGGGGCACUGCAGUGCAUGCCAAUAAGCUGAUCUUCAACAAAUAAAAAAAUUAUAAACAUGGACAAAGAGAGAGCCUUCAUCACAUAGAUCAGGUCAGCCUCUUAUUACUUGCUUUUCACCAGUUUAUCUAAUAAUUGAACUUUUGCAGCUUAAGCUAGUGCUGAAGAAAAUUGAAAGUAGAUCAUCAAGAAAAGAGUAUAUUCAGCUACUUGCAGAAUGCCACAAACUUUAUUGUGAGCAGAGUAUAUUCAGUUAUUAUUGUAGCUUUUUUUUAAUCAGCUUUGGCUGACCUCCAGUUUUGGGCUUUUAUUUUGCUCGUUUCUUAGUUUUAGCUCUCGGACUUGGAAAUUGUGAUAAUCAAGCCGUGACCCAAUUUUUGUUUAAAUCCUUUGAUGCUUUCCUCAUAUUAAUCUAGUUAGGAUUCUCAUCUUUAAUAGCUGAACUUUUUUUUUUCUUUUGGCAAAAGUGACAUGUUUUAUGUUAUAUUUUGGGGCAUGUUAUUGUUCAGUUGCUGUUCUUUUACUUUUAGCUGUUGCUCUUCUUUGUGUGUACAAACUUUGUGUUGUGUAUGUUACAGCUGGUUCAGCAAUUGCCUUAGCAAUUAACCUGCUCUUUAUAUGUAGAAUGGUGUUUAAUGGUACAUGCAGUUCUCUUGUCUGAAGUUUUGGUCAUUUGUUUCUAUGUUUUCUGCCUUUGCAAUAGCAAUUGAAUCUAUUAUGUGCAAGAUUUAUAGUUUGCCACCUAUUAUGUGCCACAGAAAAUCUGUUUCUUAUUGCAAAGUUUUAAUAUUGAUAUUUCUUUCCAUGCUUAUUUUUGCAUGACUAGAGCUAAUUUUCAGAUUAAGCAUGCCCAGCAUCUUACACUUGGGACUGCAAACAGGUUUGGUGAACUAAGGAUUAUUGCUUCAGUACAGGUUCAUCACAGCUCUCUGUUGCACUCUAGUAACAUUUAAGAAUUUGGAAAUAUCUUGUCUUGAAAAGAAUUUGGAUAUGAGACUCGGUGUAGUCACCAAAGAAACUAAACCUGGUCUAACUGUAAGUCUUCUAUAUAUCAUAUUAACUGAAAAUCUAGCUUUCUAGAGACUACAGAGAUAUUGAUUACUGCUAAAUUAUUCAUGCUAUAUUAUAGGAAGAUGACAUGCUAUUUGAUUGAAACUAAUCUAGAUUUUUGAUGAACACUUAGAAUCUUGUGCAACUGGGAUAUCUAACUGAAACUAAUCUAGAUUUCUGAUGUUUUGACAAUACUAAUUAACUAAAAGCUUCUGCAGCAAUACCUGCUAGGCUGUGUGUUUUGCUUUAAUGGGCAUUGAGUGUGGUAAAUACUGUUCUUUUCCUGUGUACCGUGUUAUGUUUGUUUCUUGUCAUGUUAAUGCUCUUGUCUCUUAUCAUUUGCCCAAGGUUGUUGAGAUCAUCUGCACUUUGGUCAGGAAAUUAUCUCCUAAUCCUAAUAGUGCUGCUAUAAUGGCCAUGGGUGUUAACAUCUUGGGUUCAUGGGAGGAGCUUCCAUUGUUGGGUUCAUGGGAGGAGCUGUCAUUACAAUUGCCCUUCACCAGCUCAAAGGAUUGCUUGGCAUAAAAAAGAAUUUCACAAAGAAGAAUCUCUGUUUUGCGCUCAGUGUUUAAUUCAACCCACCAUGUUGUAAUAUGAUUUCUUAAGCCUAGACUAAUAGACUAAAUAUUGUAAUUACAUUUGAGUAAUUAAUAAAAAUCUAUUU
Molecule: long non-coding RNA, 2915 nt
Organism: Humulus lupulus (European hop)
Lineage: Eukaryota; Viridiplantae; Streptophyta; Magnoliopsida; Rosales; Cannabaceae
Exons: 7
Source: RefSeq, a predicted model, not a curated record